Suricata suricatta (meerkat) is the source of this 1340-nucleotide long non-coding RNA. RefSeq lists it as uncharacterized. The transcript is spliced from 6 exons. NCBI's taxonomy places the organism in Eukaryota, Metazoa, Chordata, Mammalia, Carnivora, Herpestidae. The record is from RefSeq and is a predicted model, not a curated record.
GGGGGUCCGGACAUGGCCAGCGUCACCAUCAGCGCUGGUUGGGGGCCACCCCCCCCUCCGCAUCCCGGGAUUCCCCCUUCAGAAUUCGGCGUGGCAGUGGGAGGGGCUGUGGCCAUUCUAGUGUCAGCCCCGGUAUAGGGCCCUGAAGGUCACCAGAUGAGAAGCCACAGUUGAUGCCACAAAACCUCAAGCUCUCUGUCCCGAUGAGAAGCUGGUGGAGCCGGGGGCAUGAGUCCCGUGUGUACCAAGGAAGCCGCGGGGGUGCUCUGUCAAAACGAGGGAGGAAACCAAGAGGAAGGCAUGAGAUGCUGGAACCAACGACUCCACCUGGUGCUGCAAAGGGACAAAGGAGAAAGGAAAUAAGAGGAGAUGUUGAAGAGUCAAGAGAAUCAGCAUUUGUUGUACAACUUAUUUUUAUUGUUUUCUUCAUGUGAAGAAAAUGGUAUUAAAGUAGAAGAAAAUGUAGUUGACCUAAGUACAGAAAAACCCAAAGUGUUCAAAAUCCAGACAUGAGCUCUCCACGGAGGCAUAGAUGCACUGUAGUGAUUUUAAGGAGAAAGAGCGCCCACCGUCUCGCGCCUGAGAGGUCUACUAUGACCACCACCUCAGUGACUGUAGAUGUUGGAAUAGUUGUCCGCUGUCCUCUGGGCAGUGUGUUGCACAUGAGAGGUCAGACACACUCCGGAUGGUGGUCCCUCUGUCAGCCUGCAGCCUGGAAUGAGGACAAGUUACAGGAGAGUUCCAGACCAACCCAAGGUGAUCCUCUAGAAUGAGCAAGCAAACAAGAAACUCUCCUUAUGUCAAGUCACUGAGAGGGUGGAAGGAAGCCACCGACCUGCCCACCAUUUUGAGCCUGAGAACCCAGACAGCAAAAGAAAUAUACAGCAACACUCAAAGGAUCUUUAUCUCUGGGCUGUGCAAAGAUCACGUGGGAAGACGGGAUGCACGCUGAGAGCUGAGAACUCUCCACGCAGAGGCCUUUGCUGCGGACUAACUCCACCCCAGUGCUCAUUCCAGCUCAUUCCCAGAACCGGGAGAAAAGGUCCUCCCCCUCAGAGAGCAGUGGUGAGGGCUUGAAGGCAGUUAACUUGCAUUGUGCAGAUAGGCACAGGAAAUAGGUGACUGGAAAGAAGUAUUAUUUACAUAAUGAUGGGUCUUAGUAUUAAUUUGUUGAAUGCUAUUGAGCCUGAAGACCAACCUCCCUGCCUCCAACUCUGGUGGGGGUGUUUUGAAUCCCACGUUUGACCUCCCAUGAAGCAGCUCUGGGGUUUGAACACUUGCUAUCCCUGAUACACCACUUAACAUGAGCUGUUUUGGUUUUUCUUUUUAGUUUAUUUAUU